RNAcentral lists this transfer RNA (70 nucleotides) under Xenorhabdus mauleonii. RNAcentral's name for it is "tRNA_Phe_GAA". It matches the Rfam family "tRNA". Rfam says of the family: Transfer RNA (tRNA) molecules are approximately 80 nucleotides in length. Their secondary structure includes four short double-helical elements and three loops (D, anti-codon, and T loops). The record is from RNAcentral. Lineage: Bacteria; Pseudomonadati; Pseudomonadota; Gammaproteobacteria; Enterobacterales; Morganellaceae.
GCCCGGAUAGCUCAGUCGGUAGAGCAGGGGAUUGAAAAUCCCCGUGUCGGUGGUUCGAUUCCGCCUCCGG